GGGGUUGUGGCUCAAUGGUAGAGCACUUGCCUAGCAUGUGUGAAGCACUGGGUUCAAUCCCA
Molecule: transfer RNA, 62 nt
Filed under: Ictidomys tridecemlineatus (thirteen-lined ground squirrel)
Lineage: Eukaryota; Metazoa; Chordata; Mammalia; Rodentia; Sciuridae
Description: Spermophilus tridecemlineatus (thirteen-lined ground squirrel) tRNA
Rfam family: tRNA
About the family: Transfer RNA (tRNA) molecules are approximately 80 nucleotides in length. Their secondary structure includes four short double-helical elements and three loops (D, anti-codon, and T loops). Further hydrogen bonds mediate the characteristic L-shaped molecular structure. tRNAs have two regions of fundamental functional importance: the anti-codon, which is responsible for specific mRNA codon recognition, and the 3' end, to which the tRNAs corresponding amino acid is attached (by aminoacyl-tRNA synthetases). tRNAs cope with the degeneracy of the genetic code in two manners: having more than one tRNA (with a specific anti-codon) for a particular amino acid; and 'wobble' base-pairing, i.e. permitting non-standard base-pairing at the 3rd anti-codon position.
Source: Rfam by way of RNAcentral